RNAcentral lists this ribosomal RNA (512 nucleotides) under uncultured bacterium. RNAcentral's name for it is "partial 16S ribosomal RNA". It matches the Rfam family "Bacterial small subunit ribosomal RNA", at positions 28 to 523 of the family's 1533-position model. The record is from RNAcentral.
GACGAACGCUGGCGGCGUGCCUAAUACAUGCAAGUCGAGCGGAACUGGGGGAGCUUGCUCCUUCCAGUUUAGCGGCGGACGGGUGAGUAACACGUGGGCAACCUGCCCUGCAGAUCGGGAUAACUCCGGGAAACCGGUGCUAAUACCGAAUAGUUUGGCGCCUCUCCUGAGGCGCUACGGAAAGACGGUUUCGGCUGUCACUGCAGGCAGGGCCCGCGGCGCAUUAGCUAGUUGGUGGGGUAACGGCCCCCCAAGGCGACGAUGCGUAGCCGACCUGAGAGGGUGACCGGCCACACUGGGACUGAGACACGGCCCAGACUCCUACGGGAGGCAGCAGUAGGGAAUCUUCCGCAAUGGACGCAAGUCUGACGGAGCAACGCCGCGUGAGUGACGAAGGUUUUCGGAUCGUAAAACUCUGUUGUGAGGGAAGAACACGUACCAACUAACUAUUGGUACCUUGACGGUACCUCACCAGAAAGCCACGGCUAACUACGUGCCAGCCGCCGCCGUAA